CACGCCUCCAAGUGGCAGCCACGCCUCUCACUGAAGGCCACGCUUCCCGGGGGCAGUCCCUCUUUGGGGACUUCUUCAGGCUACCUUUUUAGCUUUACAAGUGUCAGGCGUCAAUCCUAAUCCUUCCUUGGUUUCCAUUCCCGAAACUCUGCCCCUCCAUCUAGGCUCCCCUCCUCUUCGUGAAGCCAUCAUGUCCCUCGCUGCCUGACCUCAUUGCCCGUUUCCCCCGCGACAGGCCUGUGAUGUGAGUCGUGGAGGCCUGCGAGCCUUCAGGGGGGUAGGACGGGCCCAGCAGCUGCCCAGGAAGAGGGAAGGAACAAAGCUCUAAAGUCUGUGCCAUCACCCAGUACCUGGAAAUCGGGGAGGGGGCAGUGGAGAUAGAGGAGGGGCAAGUAGAAGGUUGCAGCCCUGCCUAACCUCCCCUGCCCUGAUGUAGCCCCAGCUCCCUAGGGAAGGCAGAGGCUUCCCAACCCCCUUCCCCCACACUCCUGCCUGGCAGCAACGAUUUAAAAUCUUCUUGAGUCCUGGAGGAACUCAGUUUCUCCAAUGAGUCAAUUCCUACAGCCUGCCCCACGCCUUCUGAUGGUGUGACAUAGAGAGAGACUGCCCUGCUCAGCUGGUGGGCCUGCCUCCAGCAGAAUCAGGCUCCAGGGUCCCCUUCUCAGAGUCUGGGGUCUGCAGGAAGCCCCUGUGCCAAGUGGCUCUCGCAGCUGGCCUCAGCUAGGACCAUGGACACAAGUUCAGUGAUGGGAAAGCGCCUCCCCCAGCUCUCCUGUUUCUGGUCUCGUCUGUUUCUGCCAGCUCCCAAGAGGAUAAUACAGCCUCCCUGUGGAAACAACAGCUCUGGCCAGCAGGCUCUGCGCGGUCUGAAAAGCCCACUUCCACCCGAGUAUCAGCCAGGUACCAGAUGGAUAUUAUCCCCAUUUGACAGAAGAAACUGAGGCUCGGAGAUGAAGACACAACUGCUGAGUGUUAGGAGACAGUUAUCCUUGGACCUCUCACGUUAUGUUCUCUUGUGAACAGACUUGCAGGCACCUUUGUCGUGGUGAAUAGCAUUGAAUGGCAUAAUGCCACCCUCUGCAGUCAAGGGUAGGCAUGCUGUCCAUUUUUAAAAGAUUCAGGCUCCCUUAUCUCGGGGUUUUUUUUUCCCUUACACACCCUACAAUGUAAGCCCAGGUAUCACCUGGCCCUCUUUGCAAUGCCUGGUGGGAACUGUGGCUUAAGGAACAGUUGCAAAAACAACACCACUCUGGUUACCCUGGAUGCUGUGAUAAAGAGUCCCGUAUGUCUGACUGGGUAAGUUUCAUGCCUUCUGCUAACAUCAAGGAAACUAUGUCAGGGCAGGCUAACUUCUUAACUUGUGGUGGACUGGGCACCUUAAUUUACAUCUGUUUUGAAAACCUGUACACUUAGGAGAUGGAUAAGCCAGAGGUGAUAUUAAAACAAAGCAAAAUACAUAUUCCAGAUCAAUGAUUGCUUUUCCCCUAGAUAGAAAAUAACAAUACAAAUCAGUUCCUGUUUCAUUCAUUCAUCUUUUUUAUGAGCUGAAUAAACAAAUUCAAUCUGCAACA
Bos indicus x Bos taurus (hybrid cattle) is the source of this 1571-nucleotide long non-coding RNA. NCBI's taxonomy places the organism in Eukaryota, Metazoa, Chordata, Mammalia, Artiodactyla, Bovidae. The record is from Ensembl.